Molecule: ribosomal RNA, 429 nt
Filed under: Pseudomonadota bacterium
Lineage: Bacteria; Pseudomonadati; Pseudomonadota
Description: Proteobacteria bacterium partial 16S ribosomal RNA
Rfam family: Bacterial small subunit ribosomal RNA
Source: RNAcentral
UGGGGAAUAUUGGACAAUGGGCGAAAGCCUGAUCCAGCCAUGCCGCGUGUGUGAAGAAGGUCUUCGGAUUGUAAAGCACUUUAAGUUGGGAGGAAGGGCAGUAAGCGAAUACCUUGCUGUUUUGACGUUACCGACAGAAUAAGCACCGGCUAACUCUGUGCCAGCAGCCGCGGUAAUACAGAGGGUGCAAGCGUUAAUCGGAAUUACUGGGCGUAAAGCGCGCGUAGGUGGUUCGUUAAGUUGAAUGUGAAAGCCCCGGGCUCAACCUGGGAACUGCAUCCAAAACUGGCGAGCUAGAGUAGGGCAGAGGGUGGUGGAAUUUCCUGUGUAGCGGUGAAAUGCGUAGGUAUAGGAAGGAACACCAGUGGCGAAGGCGACCACCUGGGCUCAUACUGACACUGAGGUGCGAAAGCGUGGGGGGCAAACAGG